GUUGUUGGGUAGGGGAGCGUUCUGUAAGCCUGUGAAGGUGUACUGUGAGGUAUGCUGGAGGUAUCAGAAGUGCGAAUGCUGACAUAAGUAACGAUAAAGCGGGUGAAAAGCCCGCUCGCCGGAAGACCAAGGGUUCCUGUCCAACGUUAAUCGGGGCAGGGUGAGUCGACCCCUAAGGCGAGGCCGAAAGGCGUAGUCGAUGGGAAACAGGUUAAUAUUCCUGUACUUGGUGUUACUGCGAAGGGGGGACGGAGAAGGCUAUGUUGGCCGGGCGACGGUUGUCCCGGUUUAAGCGUGUAGGCUGGUUUUCCAGGCAAAUCCGGAAAACCAAGGCUGAGGCGUGAUGACGAGGCACUACGGUGCUGAAGCGACAAAUGCCCUGCUUCCAGGAAAAGCCUCUAAGCAUCAGGUAACAUCAAAUCGUACCCCAAACCGACACAGGUGGUCAGGUAGAGAAUACCAAGGCGCUUGAGAGAACUCGGGUGAAGGAACUAGGCAAAAUGGUGCCGUAACUUCGGGAGAAGGCACGCUGAUAUGUAGGUGAAGCGACUAGCUCGUGGAGCUGAAAUCAGUCGAAGAUACCAGCUGGCUGCAACUGUUUAUUAAAAACACAGCACUGUGCAAACACGAAAGUGGACGUAUACGGUGUGACGCCUGCCCGGUGCCGGAAGGUUAAUUGAUGGGGUUAGCGGUAACGCGAAGCUCUUGAUCGAAGCCCCGGUAAACGGCGGCCGUAACUAUAACGGUCCUAAGGUAGCGAAAUUCCUUGUCGGGUAAGUUCCGACCUGCACGAAUGGCGUAAUGAUGGCCAGGCUGUCUCCACCCGAGACUCAGUGAAAUUGAACUCGCUGUGAAGAUGCAGUGUACCCGCGGCAAGACGGAAAGACCCCGUGAACCUUUACUAUAGCUUGACACUGAACAUUGAGCCUUGAUGUGUAGGAUAGGUGGGAGGCUUUGAAGUGUGGACGCCAGUCUGCAUGGAGCCGACCUUGAAAUACCACCCUUUAAUGUUUGAUGUUCUAACGUUGGCCCGUAAUCCGGGUUGCGGACAGUGUCUGGUGGGUAGUUUGACUGGGGCGGUCUCCUCCUAAAGAGUAACGGAGGAGCACGAAGGUUGGCUAAUCCUGGUCGGACAUCAGGAGGUUAGUGCAAUGGCAUAAGCCAGCUUGACUGCGAGCGUGACGGCGCGAGCAGGUGCGAAAGCAGGUCAUAGUGAUCCGGUGGUUCUGAAUGGAAGGGCCAUCGCUCAACGGAUAAAAGGUACUCCGGGGAUAACAGGCUGAUACCGCCCAAGAGUUCAUAUCGACGGCGGUGUUUGGCACCUCGAUGUCGGCUCAUCACAUCCUGGGGCUGAAGUAGGUCCCAAGGGUAUGGCUGUUCGCCAUUUAAAGUGGUACGCGAGCUGGGUUUAGAACGUCGUGAGACAGUUCGGUCCCUAUCUGCCGUGGGCGCUGGAGAACUGAGGGGGGCUGCUCCUAGUACGAGAGGACCGGAGUGGACGCAUCACUGGUGUUCGGGUUGUCAUGCCAAUGGCACUGCCCGGUAGCUAAAUGCGGAAGAGAUAAGUGCUGAAAGCAUCUAAGCACGAAACUUGCCCCGAGAUGAGUUCUCCCUGA
RNAcentral lists this ribosomal RNA (1616 nucleotides) under Escherichia coli. Its description in RNAcentral is "bacterial LSU rRNA". It matches the Rfam family "Bacterial large subunit ribosomal RNA", at positions 1220 to 2818 of the family's 2925-position model. The record is from RNAcentral. Lineage: Bacteria; Pseudomonadati; Pseudomonadota; Gammaproteobacteria; Enterobacterales; Enterobacteriaceae.